AAAUUGAAGAGUUUGAUCAUGGCUCAGAUUGAACGCUGGCGGCAGGCCUAACACAUGCAAGUCGAACGGUAACAGGAAUCAGCUUGCUGUUUCGCUGACGAGUGGCGGACGGGUGAGUAAUGUCUGGGAAACUGCCUGAUGGAGGGGGAUAACUACUGGA
This 160-nucleotide ribosomal RNA is filed under the name Escherichia coli. RNAcentral's name for it is "partial 16S ribosomal RNA". It matches the Rfam family "Bacterial small subunit ribosomal RNA", at positions 1 to 154 of the family's 1533-position model. Lineage: Bacteria; Pseudomonadati; Pseudomonadota; Gammaproteobacteria; Enterobacterales; Enterobacteriaceae. The record is from RNAcentral.